ACAUGCAAGUCGAGCGGAAACGAGUUAUCUGAACCUUCGGGGAACGAUAACGGCGUCGAGCGGCGGACGGGUGAGUAAUGCCUAGGAAAUUGCCUUGAUGUGGGGGAUAACCAUUGGAAACGAUGGCUAAUACCGCAUAAUGCCUACGGGCCAAAGAGGGGGACCUUCGGGCCUCUCGCGUCAAGAUAUGCCUAGGUGGGAUUAGCUAGUUGGUGAGGUAAUGGCUCACCAAGGCGACGAUCCCUAGCUGGUCUGAGAGGAUGAUCAGCCACACUGGAACUGAGACACGGUCCAGACUCCUACGGGAGGCAGCAGUGGGGAAUAUUGCACAAUGGGCGAAAGCCUGAUGCAGCCAUGCCGCGUGUAUGAAGAAGGCCUUCGGGUUGUAAAGUACUUUUCAGUUGUGAGGAAGGGGGUGUCGUUAAUAGCGGCAUCUCUUGACGUUAGCAACAGAAGAAGCACCGGCUAACUCCGUGCCAGCAGCCGCGGUAAUACGGAGGGUGCGAGCGUUAAUCGGAAUUACUGGGCGUAAAGCGCAUGCAGGHGGGUCAUUAAGUCAGAUGUGAAAGCCCGGGGCUCAACCUCGGAACUGCAUUUGAAACUGGUGAACUAGA
RNAcentral lists this ribosomal RNA (614 nucleotides) under Vibrio splendidus. RNAcentral describes it as "bacterial SSU rRNA". It matches the Rfam family "Bacterial small subunit ribosomal RNA", at positions 53 to 645 of the family's 1533-position model. Lineage: Bacteria; Pseudomonadati; Pseudomonadota; Gammaproteobacteria; Vibrionales; Vibrionaceae. The record is from RNAcentral.